GCCCCGGUAGCUCAGGGCUUCCUCUUUCUUCUGGAGUGGCGGGUAACCGGUAGAGCGGCGGCCUCGUAAGCCGCAGGCCGCGGGUUCGAGACCCGCCCGGGGCUCCA
RNAcentral lists this transfer RNA (107 nucleotides) under Candidatus Jordarchaeales archaeon. RNAcentral's name for it is "tRNA-Thr". It matches the Rfam family "tRNA". From Rfam's summary of the family: Transfer RNA (tRNA) molecules are approximately 80 nucleotides in length. Their secondary structure includes four short double-helical elements and three loops (D, anti-codon, and T loops). Further hydrogen bonds mediate the characteristic L-shaped molecular structure. tRNAs have two regions of fundamental functional importance: the anti-codon, which is responsible for specific mRNA codon recognition, and the 3' end, to which the tRNAs corresponding amino acid is attached (by aminoacyl-tRNA synthetases). tRNAs cope with the degeneracy of the genetic code in two manners: having more than one tRNA (with a specific anti-codon) for a particular amino acid; and 'wobble' base-pairing, i.e. permitting non-standard base-pairing at the 3rd anti-codon position. RNAcentral also lists the same sequence under 1 other name. The record is from RNAcentral. Lineage: Archaea; Promethearchaeati; Candidatus Jordarchaeia; Candidatus Jordarchaeales.